RNAcentral lists this non-coding RNA (27 nucleotides) under Rattus norvegicus (Norway rat). Lineage: Eukaryota; Metazoa; Chordata; Mammalia; Rodentia; Muridae. The record is from RNAcentral.
CCUUGUCUUCUAUGUUCAGUCGCAGAC